AGCCUGAUGCAGCCAUGCCGCGUGUGUGAAGAAGGCCUUCGGGUUGUAAAGCACUUUCAGCGAGGAGGAAAGGUUAGUGGUUAAUACCCGCUAGCUGUGACGUUACUCGCAGAAGAAGCACCGGCUAACUCCGUGCCAGCAGCCGCGGUAAUACGGAGGGUGCGAGCGUUAAUCGGAAUUACUGGGCGUAAAGCGCAUGCAGGCGGCCAAGUCAGUCAGAUGUGAAAGCCCCGGGCUUAACCUGGGAAUUGCAUUUGAUACUGCUUGGCUAGAGUCCUUGAGAGGGGGGUAGAAUUUCAGGUGUAGCGGUGAAAUGCGUAGAGAUCUGAAGGAAUACCAGUGGCGAAGGCGGCCCCCUGGCAAGAGACUGACGCUCAGAUGCGAAAGCGUGGGGAGCAAACAGGAUUAGAUACCCUGGUAGUCCACGCCGUAAACGAUGUCUAUUAGGAGUCUGUGACCUUGAGGCGUGGGUUCCAAAGCUAACGCAUUAAAUCGACCGCCU
This 502-nucleotide ribosomal RNA is filed under the name Ferrimonas sp. 7Bf3S54. RNAcentral describes it as "bacterial SSU rRNA". It matches the Rfam family "Bacterial small subunit ribosomal RNA", at positions 380 to 874 of the family's 1533-position model. Lineage: Bacteria; Pseudomonadati; Pseudomonadota; Gammaproteobacteria; Alteromonadales; Ferrimonadaceae. The record is from RNAcentral.